AUACAGAUGAAGAGUCUCAAAUAAGACGAAAUGCGCAUCCUUAAAU
Molecule: non-coding RNA, 46 nt
Filed under: Trichobilharzia regenti
Lineage: Eukaryota; Metazoa; Platyhelminthes; Trematoda; Strigeidida; Schistosomatidae
Source: RNAcentral